ACUGAUCCUUAUUCCUACCAUUGAAGUUUUAUCAUAGUUUAUUCUUAACCCUGUUAUCAUCUCAAAACAGUAUAGCAAGAAUUUGAGGUUCCUCACAUAUUCCCAUUGUGCCCCACAAAAAAUCAAAGUGUCAUCGGCAUACUGUAAACAUGGUAUUCUUUCGACCAUUGUCUCCUCUCCAAUGCCUUUAAUGAUGUUUUUUGAUCCUGCAAGGUUCAUCAUUCUAGGC
RNAcentral lists this long non-coding RNA (229 nucleotides) under Elaeis guineensis (African oil palm). Its description in RNAcentral is "long non-coding RNA (EGUI_LNC019924)". The record is from RNAcentral. Lineage: Eukaryota; Viridiplantae; Streptophyta; Magnoliopsida; Arecales; Arecaceae.